GUCCACGCCGUAAACGGUGGGCGCUAGUUGUGGGGACCUUCCACGGUCUCUGCGACGCAGCUAACGCAUUAAGCGCCCCGCCUGGGGAGUACGAUCGCAAGAUUAAACUCAAAGGAAUUGACGGGGCCCCGCACAAGCAGCGGAGCAUGCGGCUUAAUUCGACGCAACGCGAAGAACCUUACCAAGGCUUGACAUAUAGGGAAAGCGGCAGAAAUGUCGUGUCCGCAAGGGCUCUAUACAGGUGGUGCAUGGUUGUCGU
Molecule: ribosomal RNA, 259 nt
Filed under: uncultured bacterium
Lineage: Bacteria
Description: partial 16S ribosomal RNA
Rfam family: Bacterial small subunit ribosomal RNA
Source: RNAcentral